Molecule: ribosomal RNA, 253 nt
Filed under: uncultured bacterium
Lineage: Bacteria
Description: partial 16S ribosomal RNA
Rfam family: Bacterial small subunit ribosomal RNA
Source: RNAcentral
UACAGAGGAUGCAAGCGUUAUCCGGAAUGAUUGGGCGUAAAGCGUCCGCAGGUGGCAGUUCAAGUCUGCUGUCAAAGACCGGGGCUUAACUUCGGAAAGGCAGUGGAAACUGAACAGCUAGAGUAUGGUAGGGGCAGAGGGAAUUCCUGGUGUAGCGGUGAAAUGCGUAGAGAUCAGGAAGAACAUCGGUGGCGAAGGCGCUCUGCUGGACCAUAACUGACACUCAGGGACGAAAGCUAGGGGAGCGAAUGCG